CCUACGGGCGGCUGCAGUAGGGAAUCUUCCACAAUGGACGAAAGUCUGAUGGAGCAACGCCGCGUGUGUGAUGAAGGGUUUCGGCUCGUAAAACACUGUUGUAAGAGAAGAAUGACAUUGAGAGUAACUGUUCAGUGUGUGACGGUAUCUUACCAGAAAGGAACGGCUAAAUACGUGCCAGCAGCCGCGGUAAUACGUAUGUUCCAAGCGUUAUCCGGAUUUAUUGGGCGUAAAGCGAGCGCAGACGGUUGUUUAAGGAGGAAGUGAAGGCCCGCAGGGUAAGUGGGGGAGUGCUUUGGAAAGUGGAUAGCUUGGGUGCAGUGGAGGAGAGGGGAACUCCAGGUGUAGCGGUGAAAGGCUUAGAGAUAUGGAAGAACACCGGGGGCGAAGGCGGCUCUCUGGACUGUAACUGACGUUGAGGCUCGAAAGUGUGGGUAGCAAACAGGAUUAGAUCCCCUAGUAGUC
Molecule: ribosomal RNA, 465 nt
Filed under: uncultured Weissella sp.
Lineage: Bacteria; Bacillati; Bacillota; Bacilli; Lactobacillales; Lactobacillaceae
Description: bacterial SSU rRNA
Rfam family: Bacterial small subunit ribosomal RNA
Source: RNAcentral